AUUUAAUUGAUUUGUCUGAGCUCGGAGAGAGACAUCUCUGGGGAGGACCAGUGUAGACACUCAGGAGGCUCCUAAAAUAUUUUCUCUGCUGUGAAUGCUAUUUCUCCUGCCUGCGCUUAAGUGCGCGGUUGGUGGGUGUUCUGCAGUGGGGGGAGGGAGCCGACAAAGACCUGGGAGUGUGCGUGGAUCUCUCUAUUCCAAAGGAGGUGUUUUAUCACACGACUCGACACUUUCUAAUUACUACACACAGUGGAGUUUACUUUACUACUAUUCUUUUGUUCGUUGGGGGAACGCUCUCUUUCGGGAGGGAGUUCUCCCAGUGGAUGCAAACACAAACAAAUAUUUUUUUAAACUAAUUCAGUCAACACAAGAUUUCUUUUAGUAGAAAUCGAAUUCCCGCUUGCCACC
RNAcentral lists this ribosomal RNA (408 nucleotides) under uncultured fungus. RNAcentral describes it as "partial 18S ribosomal RNA". Lineage: Eukaryota; Fungi. The record is from RNAcentral.